UGUUAGCUGGAAGGCCUGAUCACCCUUUCAGCCAGGAUCUCCUCUGGAUUUAGCUAGCUCGUGUCGUGUAAUUUCGGGUUCCAUCUCAUCAUGUCCUUGGUGUCUGUACUACUGGUCAGCUGCGCCUGGAGUGUGCACCUUCCAUCUCAGGAUCCCAAAGAAUUUUACAGACGUUGAGGAGUUAAGCUGUGCAACCACCCUGUGAGAUAGUAACUGAAAACUUUCCUUGCCCUUUGAAGCCCCAUGAAGUCUUUGUAUGAUCAAUAUUUUAGAUAAUGACUAUCACAAGUUCUUAUGGGCAACUGAAGGAGC
Molecule: non-coding RNA, 312 nt
Organism: Chrysemys picta bellii (western painted turtle)
Lineage: Eukaryota; Metazoa; Chordata; Testudines; Emydidae
Source: RefSeq, a predicted model, not a curated record